This 398-nucleotide ribosomal RNA is filed under the name uncultured bacterium. Its description in RNAcentral is "partial 16S ribosomal RNA". It matches the Rfam family "Bacterial small subunit ribosomal RNA", at positions 360 to 775 of the family's 1533-position model. The record is from RNAcentral.
AAUAUUGCACAAUGGGGGAAACCCUGAUGCAGCAACGCCGCGUGAGCGAUGAAGGNCUNNGGGUCNUNAAGCUCUGUCCUAAGNNNNNAAAUUUGACGGUACCUUUGGAGGAAGCCCCGGCUAACUACGUGCCAGCAGCCGCGGUAAUACGUAGGGGGCAAGCGUUAUCCGGAAUCACUGGGCGUAAAGGGUGUGUAGGCGGUCUUGCAAGUCAGAGGUGAAAGGCUACGGCUCAAACGUAGUAAGCCUUUGAAACUGUAGGACUUGAGUGCAGGAGAGGAAAGUGGAAUUCCUAGUGUAGCGGUGAAAUGCGUAGAUAUUAGGAGGAACACCAGUGGCGAAGGCGACUUUCUGGACUGUAACUGACGCUGAGGCACGGAAGUGUGGGUAGCGAACAG